ACAGGUCGCUGGACGGCCGCGGCCCGGCACCGGCGAAAGCCGCCGGGCUGAGGAACGUCCGGGCACCUCAGAGCAGGGUGGUGGCUAACGGCCACCCGGGGCGACCCGCGGGACAGUGCAACAGAAAGCAGACCGCCCGCAGCCGGAGAGAUCCGGUCGCGGGUAAGGGUGAAACGGCGGUGUAAGAGACCACCAGGGCCGCAGGUGACUGCGGCUGCUCUGCAAACCCCACCCGGUGCAAGAUCGGACAGACGGCGUUCGAGGGCUGCUCGCCCGAGCCGUCGGGUGGAUCGCUCGAGGCCGCUGGUGACAGCGGUCCCAGACAGAUGGUCGUCGCGUGCGUCCGGGUGACCGGGCGCACGAACAGAACCCGGCGUACAGGCGGCCUGUCCUC
RNAcentral lists this RNase P RNA (394 nucleotides) under Brevibacterium senegalense. RNAcentral's name for it is "RNase P RNA component class A". It matches the Rfam family "Bacterial RNase P class A". Rfam says of the family: Ribonuclease P (RNase P) is a ubiquitous endoribonuclease, found in archaea, bacteria and eukarya as well as chloroplasts and mitochondria. Its best characterised activity is the generation of mature 5'-ends of tRNAs by cleaving the 5'-leader elements of precursor-tRNAs. Cellular RNase Ps are ribonucleoproteins. Lineage: Bacteria; Bacillati; Actinomycetota; Actinomycetes; Micrococcales; Brevibacteriaceae. The record is from RNAcentral.